GAUGAACGCUGGCGGCGUGCCUAAUACAUGCAAGUCGAGCGAACGGACGAGAAGCUUGCUUCUCUGAUGUUAGCGGCGGACGGGUGAGUAACACGUGGAUAACCUACCUAUAAGACUGGGAUAACUUCGGGAAACCGUAGCUAAUACCGGAUAAUAUUUUGAACCGCAUGGUUCAAAAGUGAAAGACGGUCUUGCUGUCACUUAUAGGUGGAUCCGCGCUGCAUUAGCUAGUUGGUAAGGUAACGGCUUACCAAGGCAACGAUGCAUAGCCGACCUGAGAGGGUGAUCGGCCACACUGGAACUGAGACACGGCCCAGACUCCGACGGGAGGCAGCAGUAGGGAAUCUUACGCAAUGGGCGAAAGCCUGACGGAGCAACGCCGCGUGAGUGAUGAAGGUCUUCGGAUCGUAAAACUCUGUUAUUAGGGAAGAACAUAUGUGUAAGUAACUGUGCACAUCUUGACGGUACCUAAUCAGAAAGCCACGGCUAACUACGUG
Molecule: ribosomal RNA, 497 nt
Filed under: uncultured bacterium
Lineage: Bacteria
Description: partial 16S ribosomal RNA
Rfam family: Bacterial small subunit ribosomal RNA
Source: RNAcentral